GACGAACGCUGGCGGUGUGCUUAACACAUGCAAGUCGAACGGUAAGGCCCUUUCGGGGGUACACGAGUGGCGAACGGGUGAGUAACACGUGAGUAACCUGCCCUCAUCCCUGGGAUAACAGUCGGAAACGGUUGCUAAUACUGGAUAUGAGCUUGCAAGGCAUCUUGUGGGUUGGAAAGAUUUUUUUGGUUGGGGAUGGACUCGCGGCCUAUCAGCUUGUUGGUGAGGUAGUGGCUCACCAAGGCUUCGACGGGUAGCCGGCCUGAGAGGGCGACCGGCCACAUUGGGACUGAGAUACGGCCCCAACUCCUACGGGAGGCAGCAGUGGGGAAUAUUGCACAAUGGACGGAAGUCUGAGGCAGCAACGCCGCGUGCGGGAUGACGGCCUUCGGGUUGUAAACCGCUUUCAAUUGUGACGAAGCUUUUUGUGACGGUAGCAGUAGAAGAAGCACCGGCUAACUACGUG
This 466-nucleotide ribosomal RNA is filed under the name uncultured bacterium. Its description in RNAcentral is "partial 16S ribosomal RNA". It matches the Rfam family "Bacterial small subunit ribosomal RNA", at positions 28 to 507 of the family's 1533-position model. The record is from RNAcentral.